AUUCAUAUAAAUGUUUUAGACGUUUCCCUCAAGAUUCAUUUGGACAUGUUUGCUAUCUUUGAACAUUCAAGGAUCUUUAGUAGAAUCUGACAUAAAUGUGUUGCUCAGCAUGAGUCUCUCUGGAUGGAGCCACUGGUGGAGCUGAAGUGGCUCCGUCUUUCUUGAAGCAGCAGCAUGUUGUUAUUCAUAUUAAUGAGAGCUCUUCUUCUCUGCUUCUGUUAGACUGUUUGAAGCUGCAUCCUGUUGGCUUCAGCUGUUUGGAGUUUACAUUUUCUCAACUUGUACAUUCUGAAGCUUCUUCAGCUCUGAACACACGAUGAAACUCUGAAUGAUUUCAAGCAGACACUUUGUCUCUUCAGCUCACAUCUUUUAUUCUUUAUUCAGAUUGGAGGGCUGCAGUUUGUCAGAGGUCAGCUGUGAUUUUCUGGUCUCAGCUCUGAAGUCCAACCCCUCCCAUCUGAAACAUCUGAACCUGAGUAACAACGACCUGCAGGAUUCAGGAGUGAAGCAUCUGUGUGGUUUUGUGGAGAGUCCAGACUGCAGCCUGCAGACUCUGAGAUGGAAGUAUUGAUGCUGAUCAGGACGGUGUUUGUGCUGAGAGGAGUCCUGAUGAUCCAGAGGUUGAACCAUCAGCAGCAGCAGCAGCUGUGUCCAGACUCUGAUGAUGAAGAUGGAGAUGAUGAAGAUGAUGAAGAUCUCUUCAUGUAUGCUCUUUCUACUGAGGUUGUUCGGUGGCUUUUAGUGUUUGAUGUUAUGUUCAUGUGUUUUCUGCUCACAUCUGUUUGUGUUCAGUGUUCUUCUCUUUGGAACAGUGAAGUUCAAGGUUGAAACGAUCCAGCUGUGACGGCUCCAUGAAUUUACAUCUGGAUUUAAAUAAGCAGUGUGAAGUUUAACAGCUGCUUUUAUUCUCUUUCUCACUUUAUAAACUUGAGCAGGUUGCAUCAGAAUCUAAAAGCUGGACCGUGGUUCAGUCAGAGAUGGAGCAGCUUCACAGGAAGGUUUCUCUCUGGUCUGUUCCUAAACCGUUUCGUUCAUCAUGUCCGCCGUGGUUUGACUUGUGUUCUGUUGUUUCUGAGUCAGUGGAUUCUUGAGUGUUUGGUUGUAAAUCAGAGCCUGUUCUCAGACCGGUGAAGCUCCUGCUCCGAAUGAACCUUUGACCUUCGUUGUCUGAUAUGCAGCUUCAUCCAGCAUCAGUCAUACUUUAUCAUCGUUGUAUUUGUGUUUUUUAAACCUGUGAAGAACUUUGUAAAGUUUCUUCUGAAAACUGAAGUUAAAUGAAGCCUGUUGUCAGGAAUCAGACUAAAUGUUGUAUUAAUUCUGCGAGUAUUGGUGCUGAAUAUGUGAUGAACAUUCAGAGUGCUGCUGCUAUGACACAUGGAAGCAUCACGUUCACUCAUCACUCCUGUUUUUCUACCCACAUACAUGUUCCACAGAAUGAAGCAACACUUUAUUCUUCCUCACAUCAGGAACUAAAGAAACUUUUCACAAUCCGUUCGACAUCAGCAGCAUCGCAACGAGUGAAGUUCUAGAGCUUCAGUUUAACACCAGACUUGUUCUGCUUGUCCCAGCCUUCAUAUGUGUCCAACACCUUCUGUUUCUUUUCUCCGUCUCUAACUCUUCCAUCUCUGUCAGCACAACAACUCCAAGUGGAUCCAACCGUUCUGAACACUCAUUUCUCUGUUCCUGACUUCCUGACUAAACUCAACGCUAACCUUCCCAGUGGUGGGUCUUUGUGAAAAUGUUCCAAUGCGUCACAUAUUUGUCUUGUGCUUGUAGUCUUCAGUUCCUGUCAGUUUGCUCUGGCUGACUCCAGCCAACAGGUUUUUAUUCUCCACUCGGUGUCGCUGGAAAACCAAACCUUGGUCCUGGUUUGUCAGAGCGACUGGAGCGUCGUGAUGCAGCUCAGCAAGCCCUGAUGGAGACUGAAUCCAAGGACACAAACCGACCUGACGGCUGCUCAUGUCACGUUUAAUUAGUGACUUCACUGCAGGAAGUCAGUGCAGAGUAACGAGACACUAAAUAUACGUUUGGAUGUGAACAGACAGAAAUAAAUCUGUGUUCUAUGUGUUCUGUCUGGAUGUUGUGGGUUUUCAUGCACCAGUUUAACAGCAGAUUUCUGCUCAUGCAAGAGAAAUUUCUUCCUUUUUAAUACAAAAAGGUGAAAAUAAAGAAUUUCAACAUA
Molecule: long non-coding RNA, 2182 nt
Organism: Stegastes partitus (bicolor damselfish)
Lineage: Eukaryota; Metazoa; Chordata; Actinopteri; Pomacentridae
Exons: 2
Source: RefSeq, a predicted model, not a curated record